Rosa chinensis is the source of this 2647-nucleotide RNA transcript. It is a transcript of the gene named putative F-box protein At1g65770, with no coding region annotated. NCBI's taxonomy places the organism in Eukaryota, Viridiplantae, Streptophyta, Magnoliopsida, Rosales, Rosaceae. The record is from RefSeq and is a predicted model, not a curated record. The transcript is spliced from 5 exons.
GACUUACCUUCAAUCUGGGCCUCAUCUUACAUCCUUUUUGGUCAAUGAGUCAACCCACCGAUAUAUUCGUACUCAGACUACUCACUGUGAAAAAGUCUCCAAUGGACACCGUGAAAUGGUCCAAUCUUCCCAAGGAGCUCUGGCCGAUCAUCGGAAAAUUCCUCCAUAGCCGCAUCGACGUUCUCCGAUUUCGCAGCGUCUGCUCUAUAUGGCGUUCCUCUCGCCCUCCUUUCCAGCGACCUCCAGCUCCUCCUCGUCCUGCCCUCAGGUUCUCUCCCGCCGCCGCCGGCGAGGCCAAAAGCGAAGCUCUACUCUUCCAAAGCACAACCUAUCGCAUGGAGUCACUGACCGACGACGAUCGUUGUUGUUCUUCACAAUCAAAGCCUUGGUUGAUGCAGCUUGAGGAGGACCUUAAUUCCGGUGAAAUGCGUUUACUACAUCCGGUGACCAAUUCCCCGCUCAGGUACUCCCCUAAUUCUACUUCGAUGGUGUUCAACUUACUGGACUUUCGGCUUGUUGAGUUGCGAAAAUCGCAUGGUCUUAAGUUUGGCAAGAACAAUGUUGAUCUCAAGUCUGUGCACAAAUUGGUAGUCAUGCCUUGUGACCAUUUGGGUUUUGGUGAUGAGUGUGUGAUGUUUAUGCUAUAUAACGAAGGCAAGCUGGGUUUUGCGAGAUUUGGAGAUGAGAAACUGACCCAUGUAGAUGAACAAAACUCUCACUAUGAUGAUAUCAUUGUGUAUAAGGAUCAAUGCUAUGUUGUUGAUAAAUGGGGAACAAUUUCAUGGGUUAGUUCGGCUCUGCAGGUGAUUCAGUUUUCGCCUCCGCUAUGUGGGUUUGGCGGGCGGAAGUAUUUGGUGGAAUGUCGUGAUGAUCUUUAUGUGGUUGAUCAGUUCUUUGAAAAGGUGACUCAGCAGAGCAAUAUAGUAGGGACCCCAUUUCUGGAUAAUGAGUUACUUUGGUGGCAUUAUCAUAAAAUGCGUUCUGAUGCAGAAUCAAUUGAUUUCAAGGCUUAUAAGCUGGAUCAAGAAUGGGGUAAAUGGGUCGAUGUGAAAGACAUGGGAGAUGACAUCUUUAUUUUAAGCAAUGAUGGAUCUUUCUCUGUCUCCGCCAAAGAGUUUGCUGGAGUGAAGGGAAAUUGCAUUUUCUUUACUGAAAGUGCGUUAACUACUGGAAGGUUGUACCCUUGUGUGUUCAAUUUAGAGGAUGGUUUGUUUAGCAAGGCAUCUUUGCGCUGUCCACAAAUGGUCCAUCCACCUUCAAGUUGGCUCAGCCCUGAUUGAAGUUUGUCUGCAUGUUCAGAAUGGAAGUUGGUUACUGCUUAAGACCAUUUGAUUUGCAUUUCUUGGAGAUGGUGACCAACCAAUUCUCAUGAAGAGUGACCUGUGCUUACUCUCCAAGUCUACAUGGCGACCGUGAAAUGGUCUGAUCUUCCCAAGGAGCUUUGGCCCUUCAUCGGAAAAUUCCUCCACAGCCGCAUCGACAUUCUCCGAUUUCGCAGCUCCUUAUGGCGUUCUUCUCACCCUCUUCUCUACCGACCUCCUCCUCCUCUUCUUCUCCCCGUCAGCUCCUCUCCCACCCCCGCCAGGAAAAGAAAAAAGGAAGCCGUACUUUUCAAAAGCACAUGCACUGUAUCGCAUGGAGUCACUCAUCGAUGAAGAUCGCAAUGCUGCACUAUCAAAGCCUUGUUCAUGGUUGAUGAAGGUUGAGGACUUGAGGAGGACCCCAAUUCCGGUAAAAUGUGUUUACUGGAUCUGGUGACUGAUUCACUGGUCAGUCAUGAGUUCAAUCUAUUGGACUUUCGGCUUGUGGAGUUGCGAAAGUCAUAUGUUCUUAAAGAUACCGAGUAUGUCUGUUUUCCUGUUGAUUCUGUACAAAAAGUGGUGGUUAUGACUGAUGAGCAUUUGGACAUUGAUAAUGUGUAUGCGGUAUUUAUGAUUUUUAAGAGAGGGAAUCUGGGUUUUGUGAGGGUUGGGGAUGAGAACUUGAUCAAUGUCGAUGAACAAAACUCGGAUUAUCGUGAUAUCAUCAUUUACAAGGGUCAAUGCUAUGUUGUUGAUUAUUGGGGGAUAAUUUCAUGGGUCAAUUCAGCUUUGGAGGUGAUUCAGUUUUCGCCUCCGAUAUGUGGGUCUGGAGGGCAGAAGCAUUUGGUGGAAUCAUCUUUACGUGGUUGUUCAGUACGGUGCAACGUUGACUUGCCAGGGCAAUAGGAGAGUUAGGUACUCACACCAAGAGGAUGAAUAUCCUGAAGCAAUUGGUUUUAAAGUUUAUAAGCUGGAUCAAGAAUGGGGUAAUUAUAAAUGGGUCAAUGUGAAAGACUUGGGAGAUCGAGUGUUUAUUUUAAGCAAUGAUGGGUCUUUCUCUGUCUCCACCAGAGAGUUUGCUGGAGUGAAAGGAAAUUGCAUUUUCUUCAUUGCACGAGCAUCAGCAAGGUGUUACAGUUGUGUGUUCAGUUUGGAGGAUGGUAGGAUUAGGAACCUAGCAUCUUCGGAGUGUUCUCAGAUGGUCCAGCCACCUUCAAAUUUGCUCAACCCCAAUUGAAGUGUGUCUGCAUGCUCUGAAUGGGAAGUUGGUCACUGCUUAAGACCAUUUGAUUUGCCUUUCUUGGACAUGAUGGAAGAUCCAAUUCUCAUGAAGAGUGAAUUGUAAC